GAUGAACGCUGGCGGCGUGCCUAAUACAUGCAAGUCGAGCGAACAGACGAGGAGCUUGCUCCUCUGACGUUAGCGGCGGACGGGUGAUGAACACGUGGAUAACCUGCCUAUAAGACUAGGAUAACUUCGGGAAACCGGAUCUAAUACCGGAUAAUAUAUUGAACGUCAUGGUUCAAUAGUGAAAGACGUAUUUGCUGUCACUUAUAGAUGGAUCCUGGCCGCAUUAGCUAGUUGGUAGGGUAAAGGCUUACCAAGGCGACGAUGCGUAGCUGACCUGAGAGGAUGAUCAGUCACACUGGAACUGAGACACGGUCCAGACUCCUACGGGAGGCAGCAGUGGGGAAUAUUGCACAAUGGGCGAAAGCCUGAUCCAGCAAUGCCGCGUGUGUGAAGAAGGUCUUCGGAUUGUAAAGCUCUUUAAGUUGGGAGGAAGAAAAGUAAGUUAAUACCUUGCUGUUUUGACGUUACCAACAGAAAAAGCCCCGGCUAACUUCGUG
Molecule: ribosomal RNA, 497 nt
Filed under: uncultured bacterium
Lineage: Bacteria
Description: partial 16S ribosomal RNA
Rfam family: Bacterial small subunit ribosomal RNA
Source: RNAcentral